Molecule: ribosomal RNA, 464 nt
Filed under: uncultured bacterium
Lineage: Bacteria
Description: partial 16S ribosomal RNA
Rfam family: Bacterial small subunit ribosomal RNA
Source: RNAcentral
CUACGGGUGGCUGCAGUGGGGAAUAUUACACAAUGGGCUCACGCCUGCUUCAGCCCUGCCGCGUGUAUGAAGAAGGCCUUCGGGUUGUAAAGUACUUUCAGCGGGGAGGAAGGGAGUAAAGUUAAUACCUUUGCUCAUUGACGUUACCCGCAGAAGAAGCACCGGCUAACUCCGUGCCAGCAGCCGCGGUAAUACGGCGGGUGCAAGCGUUAAUCGGAAUUACUGGGCGUAAAGCGCACGCAGGCGGUUUGUUAAGUCAGAUGUGAAAUCCCCGGGCUCAACCUGGGAACUGCAUCUGAUGCUGGCAAGCUUGAGUCUCGUAGAGGGGGGUAGAAUUCCAGGUGUAGCGGUGAAAUGCGUAGAGAUCUGGAGGAAUACCGGUGGCGAAGGCGGCCCCCUGGACGAAGACUGACGCUCAGGUGCGAAAGCGUGGGGAGCAAACAGGAUUAGAUACCCUAGUAGUC